CACUGGUGCUUGCACGGCUCUCCAAGGAACUACAUUGUUGCCGCCUGACAGCACAGUGCCUUGUUCGUCUCCUGCGUAUGCGGGGUGAGGUGAGAGUUUUAUUUAAAGCACAGCAGAUAAACAUUUCAUAAAGAUCCACAUGAAGCUGGGCUGUUACAUUGGGGCGUGCACGAGUCCUUGGGCCAUGAAAUAGCUCCUCGUGCAAUACUUUAUUGAUGAUUAUAAUGGCCUGAAAGCAAAAUAAUUCUAGUGUUUGUCUGUGAUCUUGAGUGGGUAAACAUACUUAUAUAAAUUAAAACAAAUCUUAUCUGUCUUAAUAUCAAUUGCUAACGGUAGCAUCUUGCAAGACUGAUGAUGGAAGGUCAUUAUUUACUUUUUAUGCUUUAUUUUUCACUAAAAAACAGGAAACGUAUGUGCAAUAAUCACGAGUCGAGUUUGCCAGGUAACAGCUAAGCUAAAUACUAUCCGAGGACACUCACUCUAUUCAAUUUAACUUGGGCUUGCCUGGAUCGUUUGGCGGAGUGCCACUGCCACUGCCACAAGCAGAUGCUCCCGAUAAUAAUAUUUCAUUUGGUAAUGCAUUGAUAGCAUUGACAAAGACGAUUGUAUUCCUCCAUCCAUUUUACCGGCCAACGUAAUCUGUACACGUGUAAAUAAGCUAUCUGGUCAACGGGGCCAGAUGGAACAUGCCCAACUUUGUUCAUAUUUUUUUGUCAAUUUACCAUACAGGAAAAUAAUACAGUAUAGGAAAUCUUAAAAGCACAUAACCCUUUGAGAAGUCGUGCAGCUUUGGUGUCUGUCGUCAAUUUUUUCCACAUCAGUUGUCUCGAUUGUUUGAAGACAUAUCAAUGCAUAUCCUUGUUUUAUUUCUGAAUUGUCAUAUAUCAUAAAUCAUUUGACAUUCGGAAUGAGAUUUUUUGCUCUAUUGGUACACGGCAUCUGUAAUUCUGAUUGUGAAUGUGGUAGCGACCUUAAAUCACGUAGCUGUGGCAUCAUGGGUAAAGACAAAGAACUGAUCUCGUAAUUGGCUGAUAUGGAGGGCGGGACACCCAUUGUGAACAAUGAAUCAAAACAACAACUAAAAUGGACUGACUACCAACUUUUAAAAUGGGAAGAUCUUGCCUAACCGUUGAACUGUGUUAAAACUUUCUAAAAAGCAUAUUUCUUCUAUUAUUGUUAUUAUUACGUCUAUUGAAAUAUUAGAAUCAUUUCAUUAAAAAAAAUUGAAGUGCAACUCUUACAUAAUGCUCUUUUAAAAUCAGGUGCCUCACACUCAGGUUCAAAAAUAUGUGAUUACGACAGCCUUAAUCAUAAUAAUAAUAAUAAUAAUAUUAAUAUUAAUAAUAAAGAUGCACCGAUACCGAUACUAGUAUCGGCAGGGGGCGCCGAUCCGGCCCGAAAUGGUGGUAUAAGUAUCGGUGAGUACCAACAAAGACGGCGCCGAUACCAUUUACCGGUCCAUUAUUAUAACGUUUGACCGCAGCCUUUUUUUUUUCUCCUGGUGCUCACUACACUCUGUCUCUGUGUUGUGUAAUGACACGUGAACACCAAGCAGCUAUCACUAUUGGCCUGCUCCAGAACGGACCAAUAGCCACUCCCGACCAAUGGCAAGGGCGCUUUUUCAUAUGAAGGAAAAAUAAACCAGAAUAAAUGGCGGCGGUCGGGAAAUAUUUCAAAAUACAAAUCCCGUCGACUAAAAUCAAUGUGUAACCCACGUUACUAUGAUAGAGAACACUGAACAUGAUUCACACGGAAAUUUACUGAGCCAGGAAUUAUAAUAAGAAAAAUAUCAACUCAAACGAAAGUUGAUAUAAAAUUAGUGAGGAAAAAAUAGGUUAUUUAAAAAAAAAAUAAUCGUUUGAUUUCAUUACUUUUUAAAAGGCAACGACCUAGAAGCCAAUGGAAAGUUGCGAUAUUUCUCUCCCUUAACCAAUGAGCGAGCAGGUUCUAGGCCAUUGGUAGGAUGACAGGAGCGAACCGGUCUUCUCUCUCUCUUUUACUUCCUCAUCGCGAGCUAGUGAAGACGCAGCUUCUUUGGUCUGUCUGACAGUUACAAACAUACUGCGGGAAAAAAAAAAAAAACGGAUUCAACUACAGUCUUUGUGCGUCAUUGGAAUUGAGGGCAGCUCGUGACAGCGCGGUUUGGCCAACCGUUAACUGCGUGCCGCCAUCACCUUGUUCUGGAAGGCAGUUUGUGACAGCGCGGGUUGGCUAACAACCGUUAGCUACGUGCCCUCAUCACCUUGUUCUGGCCGGGUCUUUUAUGCGGGAGUCGCCUUUCAUUGAGGACAUCGUGGGAGAUCGCUUGUGAAGCUUUUUUUUUUUUUUUUUUUUUUCCUUUUAUUUUUCCGCUCUCGACCUGUCGAGCCACAGGAGUGGUUGUCGAAGGAGGGACCGGUGGCGAGCUAACCCAAUUUUCGAACCUGAACUGGACACUUUUUUUUGUUUGAGCUGGGAAUCUGGUAGGAACUUUACAUAAUACUCAACAGUGAUUUACAUGUGAGCUCACAUAGCGUUUUGGGACUGGAAUAAGACGUUGAAGGGAAAACACUAAAUGCACUUAGUAAAGUUAGGGGGUGUAAAGUAACAGUUUUUUGGAUAAAUUGAGCAUUUGUUUCAUGCAUUUAACUUUUCUUUUCAAUGUACAUAUUGUAAAUAGUUUAAUAUUUUUGUUUUUUUAUUACACACAAAAACCCCACAAUUAUCUGUGUCUUGAGUUUUAUUUGCUUCUGCCGGGUGCACGCUGUCUCCUGUGAGUCGAGUCUAGCUUCUGAUGCACUGGUCCAAUAAAUAAACACGUUAUAAUCAGACAACGUAAAGUGAUACAAGGUAAACUUUGUCACUUGUUAACCACCGGGUUACAAAUGGCUGCAUGCAAGAUUUGCGGCCUGAAAGUUUCGAGAUGUGGAGUUAAAUUGGCCAGUUUCAAUACCUCGAACCUAAUAAAACAUUUGAAGACGAAACGUGAACGAACACAACGAGUUUGAGCCUGCAAGAGCAGGACUGCUAUCCAAAGGAAGGGCGCUGGACCGUUGCAACAAUCUCUGGUAAGUUCACUACGUCAACUUUACUUGUCUUUUACUUAAAGAAAUGCUGCAGUAAUUUGGGAACUGUUUCCAAAGUAGGGUUGCCACCUUUCAGAAAUAGAAAUAAGGGACUCCCCCCCAUCCCGAAAAAAGGAGGCUAAUAGAGAGACGGGAUGCUGUGGUCAAUUAUUAUUACUUAUAAUUGUUAGCGUCCGCAAAUGCGGAAACCAAGUUGGACCUCGAAGCGGACAACAAGCGGGGGAUACAUACAAGGGUUUAAUGAUUGCAAACAAAAAAUAACACGCGAUCGCGGGAUAGUAGAAAUAACAAAAGGAGUCUGUGACAGCAGGUCGACGGAGCUCAGUACUACAAACGCGAAGGUUAACUAAGACGAUAGGCAGCCAAAAAGCCAAAAUAAAAACACUCAAAUACCUGCAUAGGGUAGCGGUUACAAACAAGUGCAGCACACUAACAGAAAAAAACCCAAUGCAGGGGCGUAACAAGCAAAUGUAGUGAGACUAUAGUGCGAGAUGUCAAAUGGCGAUCAGCAAGGCAAAUAUCUCGGCAGCCUUCUCUGAGAUCACCCGUGCUUAAAUGCUGCGUUGAUGAGCCUGCAUUGGAUUCAGGUGCGACAUCAGGAACGCCCCCACUAACAGCCCAGCAACAAAACACAAUCUAACCAGCAGCAGAAUGUGACAAUAACUUCAUGAAAGUUGCACUGUUUGGCCUUUGAGAGGUUUAAAAAAGUUUACUCAGUUCAUUCAGAGUUUAUUAUUAUGAAUUUAUUUUUACUUUAUUACUGUUGGGCUAGUAUUAUACUUUGUACUAAUCUUUUUCCUAUUUUGCAAAGGUAAGCAACAGCCUGACAAAGCUUUGAUAGCAAUGAUUUA
Corythoichthys intestinalis (scribbled pipefish) is the source of this 3916-nucleotide long non-coding RNA. RefSeq lists it as uncharacterized. The transcript has 4 exons. NCBI's taxonomy places the organism in Eukaryota, Metazoa, Chordata, Actinopteri, Syngnathiformes, Syngnathidae. The record is from RefSeq and is a predicted model, not a curated record.